Molecule: ribosomal RNA, 499 nt
Filed under: uncultured Pantoea sp.
Lineage: Bacteria; Pseudomonadati; Pseudomonadota; Gammaproteobacteria; Enterobacterales; Erwiniaceae
Description: bacterial SSU rRNA
Rfam family: Bacterial small subunit ribosomal RNA
Source: RNAcentral
UGAUCAUGGCUCAAUUGAACGCUGGCGGCAGGCCUAACACAUGCAAGUCGGACGGUAGCACAGAGGAGCUUGCUCCUUGGGUGACGAGUGGCGGACGGGUGAGUAAUGUCUGGGGAUCUGCCCGAUAGAGGGGGAUAACCACUGGAAACGGUGGCUAAUACCGCAUCACGUCGCAAGACCAAAGAGGGGGACCCUCGGGCCUCACACUAUCGGAUGAACCCAGAUGGGAUUAGCUAGUAGGCGGGGUAAUGGCCCACCUAGGCGACGAUCCCUAGCUGGUCUGAAAGGAUGACCAGCCACACUGGAACUGAGACACGAUCCAGACUCCUACGGGAGGCAGCAGUGGGGAAUAUUGCACAAUGGGGCGCAAGCCUGAUGCAGCCAUGCCGCGUGUAUGAAGAAGGCCUUCGGUUUGAAAGUACUUUCAGCGGGGAGGAAGGCGGUGAGGUAAUAGGCGGGGCGAUUGACCUCCCCCCCCAAAGAAGCACUGGCUAACUCC